GGGCUUGUGGCGCAGCAUGGAUAGCGCGGUAGCCUCCUAAGUUACAGGUCGAGGGAUCGAAGCCCUCCAAGCCCG
RNAcentral lists this transfer RNA (75 nucleotides) under Candidatus Nitrosopumilus sp. Its description in RNAcentral is "tRNA-Arg". It matches the Rfam family "tRNA". Rfam says of the family: Transfer RNA (tRNA) molecules are approximately 80 nucleotides in length. The record is from RNAcentral. Lineage: Archaea; Thermoproteati; Nitrososphaerota; Nitrososphaeria; Nitrosopumilales; Nitrosopumilaceae. RNAcentral also lists the same sequence under 7 other names.